CAGGCUCGCUCAGGUGGCAUUUCGAUCCUCUGGCGGUGGCCCCAUUGUGGUGUCGUCGGUGGGUAGCGUGCUUCUCUUCUUGCUUUGGGACGAUGCUUGAGCGGCUUUUAGGACGUAAUCCUAGGACAGGUUCCGUGCUUCCGCAUCGAACUGUCCUAGUCCGUCCCUCUCAUUAGUCGUGGUCCGUCGUUGUCCUUUUAGGGUCAGUUGCGGUCACAGAUUGGGUUCUUGUUUCGGAUAUCCCAAUGCGGCAGUUGGAAGGAUUUUCGCUUCUAUUGUGAUACCAUCGGGCGUCCGACGUUCUUCGUCGGGAAAGCCGACCCCCAAUCGGGCGCUUCUCCUCUCGAAUACGGAGAUUUCGUCGAUUGGUCGCACCGGUCCUUGGUGGUCGUUGUCAUCCAGACGUAAAGCGCUAACGCUUCUGCUCGCACGAUCCUUGCGCUUUGCCUCUGUGAGAUCGCGGAGCCUAACCCCUCCGCAAUCGCCUCGGGGGCGGGCAUCGAGAUUUUUGGAGGAACAC
RNAcentral lists this unclassified non-coding RNA (520 nucleotides) under Ernestia tenella. RNAcentral describes it as "partial external transcribed spacer". The record is from RNAcentral. Lineage: Eukaryota; Viridiplantae; Streptophyta; Magnoliopsida; Myrtales; Melastomataceae.